GUUGUAUGGUUAAGUGACUAAGCGUACACGGUGGAUGCCUUGGCAGUCAGAGGCGAUGAAGGACGUAUUAACUUGCGAUAAGCCCAGAUUAGGUAGUAAAAACCAUUUGAGUCUGGGAUUUCCGAAUGGGGAAACCCACUAGCAUAAGCUAGUAUCGCUGCGUGAAUACAUAGCGCAGCGAGGCGAACCGGGGGAACUGAAACAUCUAAGUACCCCGAGGAAAAGAAAUCAACCGAGAUUCCGAAAGUAGCGGCGAGCGAAAUUGGACUAGCCCUUAAGCUUUUUAUGCGUCAGGUGAAACUUCUGGAAAGUUGUGCGAUACAGGGUGAUAGCCCCGUAACCGGCAACGCAUUUAAAGUGAAAUCGAGUAGGGCGGGACACGUGAUAUCCUGUCUGAAUAUGGGGGACCAUCCUCCAAGGCUAAAUACUACUGACUGACCGAUAGUGAACCAGUACCGUGAGGGAAAGGCGAAAAGAACCCCUGUGAGGGGAGUGAAAUAGAACCUGAAACCGUGUACGUACAAGCAGUAGGAGCACCUUCGUGGUGUGACUGCGUACCUUUUGUAUAAUGGGUCAGCGACUUAUAUUCAGUGGCAAGGUUAACCAUCUAGGGGAGCCGUAGGGAAACCGAGUCUUAACUGGGCGUUCAGUCUCUGGAUAUAGACCCGAAACCAGGUGAUCUAGCCAUGGGCAGGUUGAAGGUUGAGUAACAUCAACUGGAGGACCGAACCGACUAAUGUUGAAAAAUUAGCGGAUGACUUGUGGCUAGGGUGAAAGGCCAAUCAAACCUGGAGAUAGCUGGUUCUCCCCGAAAGCUAUUUAGGUAGCGCCUCGGACGAAUACUACUGGGGGUAGAGCACUGUUAAGGCUAGGGGGUCAUCCCGACUUACCAACCCUUUGCAAACUCCGAAUACCAGUAAGUACUAUCCGGGAGACACACGGCGGGUGCUAACGUCCGUCGUGGAGAGGGAAACAACCCAGACCGCCAGCUAAGGUCCCAAAUUACUACUAAGUGGGAAACGAUGUGGGAAGGCUCAGACAGCCAGGAUGUUGGCUUAGAAGCAGCCAUCAUUUAAAGAAAGCGUAAUAGCUCACUGGUCGAGUCGGCCUGCGCGGAAGAUGUAACGGGGCUAAGUAGUAAACCGAAGCUGCGGCAAUGCACUUUGUGCAUUGGGUAGGGGAGCGUUCUGUAAGCGGUUGAAGGUGUGUGGUAACGCAUGCUGGACGUAUCAGAAGUGCGAAUGCUGACAUGAGUAACGAUAAAGGGGGUGAAAAACCUCCUCGCCGGAAGACCAAGGGUUCCUGUCCAACGUUAAUCGGGGCAGGGUAAGUCGACCCCUAAGGCGAGGCCGAAAGGCGUAGUCGAUGGGAAACGGGUUAAUAUUCCCGUACUUCUUACAAUUGCGAUGGGGGGACGGAGAAGGCUAGGUGGGCCUGGCGACGGUUGUCCAGGUUCAAGUGCGUAGGCUGAGAAAUUAGGUAAAUCCGGUUUCUCUUAAGGCUGAGACACGACGUCGAGCUACUACGGUAGUGAAGUCAUUGAUGCCAUGCUUCCAGGAAAAGCCUCUAAGCUUCAGAUUGUAAGGAAUCGUACCCCAAACCGACACAGGUGGUCGGGUAGAGAAUACCAAGGCGCUUGAGAGAACUCGGGUGAAGGAACUAGGCAAAAUGGUACCGUAACUUCGGGAGAAGGUACGCUCUCGACGGUGAAGUCCCUUGCGGAUGGAGCUAUUGAGAGUCGCAGAUACCAGGUGGCUGCAACUGUUUAUUAAAAACACAGCACUGUGCAAAAUCGUAAGAUGACGUAUACGGUGUGACGCCUGCCCGGUGCCGGAAGGUUAAUUGAUGGGGUUAGACUUCGGUCGAAGCUCUUGAUCGAAGCCCCGGUAAACGGCGGCCGUAACUAUAACGGUCCUAAGGUAGCGAAAUUCCUUGUCGGGUAAGUUCCGACCUGCACGAAUGGCGUAAUGAUGGCCACGCUGUCUCCACCCGAGACUCAGUGAAAUUGAAAUCGCUGUGAAGAUGCAGUGUACCCGCGGCUAGACGGAAAGACCCCGUGAACCUUUACUACAGCUUGGCACUGAACAUUGACCCUACAUGUGUAGGAUAGGUGGGAGGCUUUGAAACUAGUACGCCAGUAUUAGUGGAGCCGUCCUUGAAAUACCACCCUUGUAGUGUUGAUGUUCUAACGUCGACCCCUUACCGGGGUUGCGGACAGUGCCUGGUGGGUAGUUUGACUGGGGCGGUCUCCUCCCAAAGCGUAACGGAGGAGCACGAAGGUGGGCUAAUCACGGUUGGACAUCGUGAGGUUAGUGCAAUGGCAUAAGCCCGCUUGACUGCGAGAAUGACAAUUCGAGCAGGUGCGAAAGCAGGUCAUAGUGAUCCGGUGGUUCUGAAUGGAAGGGCCAUCGCUCAACGGAUAAAAGGUACUCCGGGGAUAACAGGCUGAUACCGCCCAAGAGUUCAUAUCGACGGCGGUGUUUGGCACCUCGAUGUCGGCUCAUCACAUCCUGGGGCUGAAGUCGGUCCCAAGGGUAUGGCUGUUCGCCAUUUAAAGUGGUACGCGAGCUGGGUUUAGAACGUCGUGAGACAGUUCGGUCCCUAUCUGCCGUGGGCGUUGGAAGAUUGAAGGGGGCUGCUCCUAGUACGAGAGGACCGGAGUGGACGAACCUCUGGUGUUCGGGUUGUGUCGCCAGACGCAUUGCCCGGUAGCUAAGUUCGGAAUCGAUAACCGCUGAAAGCAUCUAAGCGGGAAGCGAGCCCUGAGAUGAGUCUUCCCUGAUACUUUAAGUAUCCUAAAGGGUUGUUCGAGACUAGAACGUUGAUAGGCAGGGUGUGUAAGCGUUGUGAGGCGUUGAGCUAACCUGUACUAAUUGCCCGUGAGGCUUAACCAUACAACACCCAAGGGGUUU
This 2912-nucleotide ribosomal RNA is filed under the name Vibrio campbellii. RNAcentral's name for it is "23S ribosomal RNA". It matches the Rfam family "Bacterial large subunit ribosomal RNA". Lineage: Bacteria; Pseudomonadati; Pseudomonadota; Gammaproteobacteria; Vibrionales; Vibrionaceae. The record is from RNAcentral.